GGACGAACGCUGGCGGCGUGCUUAACACAUGCAAGUCGAACGCUGAACCCGCUUCGGUGGGGGAUGAGUGGCGAACGGGUGAGUAACACGUGGGCAACCUGCCCCCGGCUCUGGGAUAACUCCAAGAAAUUGGGGCUAAUACCGGAUGUGACCGCUGGCCGCAUGGUCUGGUGGUGGAAAGGGUUUCCGGCUGGGGAUGGGCCCGCGGCCUAUCAGCUUGUUGGUGGGGUAGUGGCCUACCAAGGCGACGACGGGUAGCCGGCCUGAGAGGGUGACCGACCACACUGGGACUGAGACACGGCCCAGACUCCUACGGGAGGCAGCAGUGGGGAAUAUUGCGCAAUGGGCGGAAGCCUGACGCAGCGACGCCGCGUGGGGGAUGACGGCCUUCGGGUUGUAAACCUCUUUCAGCAGGGACGAAGCGCAAGUGACGGUACCUGCAGAAGAAGCACCGGCCAACUACGUG
This 466-nucleotide ribosomal RNA is filed under the name uncultured bacterium. Its description in RNAcentral is "partial 16S ribosomal RNA". It matches the Rfam family "Bacterial small subunit ribosomal RNA", at positions 27 to 507 of the family's 1533-position model. The record is from RNAcentral.